ACCCCCGGGCCGUUACCGCCUCACGGCUCCGCGAAAACGUCGGCAGCGGGCCGGGGUGCCGCUGCCGGAUAUGCCGGGUGCGUUGCCCGCUCGAAGCAGAAAGCAGCGACGCGGGAACUGGCGCGCGCUUGGUUUCCUCUCUCCCGUUGCAAAAUGCAGGGAAAUUGUGCUUUCGUGUUUAGCGGCCGUGAAGAUUGUUUUGAGUGACAUUACUGGAAGUUACCCAUAGCCCUGCUUUAAUUUGUGUUAACAGCAAGCCUGCUCUGCAGUCCGUGUUCCCUUUAACUCCUGCAGUGCCUCCACACUGUUUGCAUGACAGGGAGAGCAGCAGCCAAGCAGCGUGAGGUGAGGACAUGGGUUGAGUUCUCAUUUGUGGAAGACCACAGUGACCAUUUUGAGGAAGGCAGUGCCAAGCUGGUGGAGAUAGACUCAUGUAUCCUGCAGCUCAAUUCCACUGUCACUGAUGGCAUUCAGAUAUUGCCUGGGUUAGAGGUGCAGGGCUGCAAUUUAAUAAAGGACAUGAUAGCAGGAUUUCCCUCUGCAGCGUUUUCAAGCUCACCAUCUAUCUGGAUUUCAAAAAGCAUUUUUGUAACCUCAGUCUUUGCAUUUCAGCAUAGAGGUUUGAAAAAUAGAUUGUUAACUCUACCAAUCCCCAUAUGAAGUGACAUCAUUUGAC
Molecule: long non-coding RNA, 676 nt
Organism: Phasianus colchicus (ring-necked pheasant)
Lineage: Eukaryota; Metazoa; Chordata; Aves; Galliformes; Phasianidae
Source: RefSeq, a predicted model, not a curated record